This 623-nucleotide ribosomal RNA is filed under the name Racocetra fulgida. RNAcentral describes it as "partial large subunit ribosomal RNA". It matches the Rfam family "Eukaryotic large subunit ribosomal RNA", at positions 89 to 626 of the family's 3401-position model. The record is from RNAcentral. Lineage: Eukaryota; Fungi; Glomeromycota; Glomeromycetes; Diversisporales; Gigasporaceae.
GCGAGUGAAGCGGGAAGAGCACAAAUUUUAAAUCUACCUGGUUUCCAGGUCGAGUUGUAAUUUGAAGAAGUGUUUUUUACUUUCCGGGUUGGGUUAAAUCCUUUGGGAUAAGGUAUCAUGGAGGGUGAGAAUUCCGUGUAUACCAACCGCAGGAUGUUUAAUAUACACUUUCUAAGAGUCGAGUUGUUUGGGAAUGCAGCUCUAAAUGGGUGGUAAAUUUCACCUAAUGCUAAAUAUAAGCGAGAGACCGAUAGCGAACAAGUACCGUGAGGGAAAGAUGAAAAGAACUUUGAAAAGAGAGUUAAAUAGUACGUGAAAUUGUUGAAAGGGAAACGGUUGAAGUCAGUCAUGCCGGCGGGAAUCAACUUAGGGGAAACUCUGAGUGCACUUCUUCGCUUGGCAGGUUAGCGUCGAUUUUGGAUGUCAUAAAAUGACUGGGAAGGUAGCUUUUUCGGGAGUGUUAAGCCCUUGGUAGAUGUGAUGUCUGGGAUUGAGGAUUGCAACGGAUACCUUUUGGGCUAACCGCCUAGUCUCUAAUACGAAGUUGGGUUACGGACAGCAUGCUGACUGUGAUCUGAUUUUUGGUUAAAAGAUUAGAGCGAGUGUAAAUUCGUUAGGGGCAC